RNAcentral lists this ribosomal RNA (407 nucleotides) under uncultured bacterium. Its description in RNAcentral is "partial 16S ribosomal RNA". It matches the Rfam family "Bacterial small subunit ribosomal RNA", at positions 28 to 526 of the family's 1533-position model. The record is from RNAcentral.
GACGAACGCUGGCGGCGUGCCUAAUACAUGCAAGUAGGACGCAGUCGCGAACGGGUGAGUAACGCGUAUGUACCUACCUCUUACAGGGGGAUAACUAUUGGAAACGAUAGCUAAUACCGCAUACUAGUCGCUGGACCUACGUUGUAUUAGCUAGUAGGUAGGGUAAUGGCCUACCUAGGCAAGGGUACAUAGCAGACCCGAGAGGGUGUUAGGCCACAAUGGGACUGUGGCGCGGCCCAGGCUCCUACGGGAGGCAGCAGUAGGGAAUCUUCGGCAAUGGGGGGAACCCUGACCGAGCAACGGCGCGUGAGUGAAGAAGGUUUUCGGAUCGGAAAGCUAUUUUGUUAAGGAAGCGGUACUUAACCAGAAAGGGACGGCUAACUACGUGCCAGCAGCCGCGGUAAUAC